GAUGAACGCUGGCGGCGUGCCUAACACAUGCAAGUCGAACGGACUCGAUUCUUAGGAUGAGAGUUAGUGGCGCACGGGUGAGUAACACGUAGGUGACCUACCCCAGAGCGGGGGGACAACUUCUCGAAAGAGAAGCUAAUACCCCGUAUGUUCAAUCAUUCGUUUGAUUGAGUAAAGCUCCGGCGCUCUGGGAGGGGCCUGCGUCCGAUUAGCUAGUUGGUGGGGUAAUGGCCUACCAAGGCGAUGAUCGGUAGCUGGUCUGAGAGGACGAUCAGCCACACUGGCACUGACACACGGGCCAGACUCCUACGGGAGGCAGCAGUGAGGAAUAUUGCGCAAUGGGCGAAAGCCUGACGCAGCAACGCCGCGUGGAGGAUGAAGGCCUUCGGGUCGUAAACUCCUUUUCUGGGAGAAGAGACAAGGACGGUAUCCCAGGAAUAAGUCUCGGCUAACUACGUG
RNAcentral lists this ribosomal RNA (459 nucleotides) under uncultured bacterium. RNAcentral describes it as "bacterial SSU rRNA". It matches the Rfam family "Bacterial small subunit ribosomal RNA", at positions 28 to 507 of the family's 1533-position model. The record is from RNAcentral.